RNAcentral lists this ribosomal RNA (253 nucleotides) under uncultured bacterium. Its description in RNAcentral is "partial 16S ribosomal RNA". It matches the Rfam family "Bacterial small subunit ribosomal RNA", at positions 524 to 776 of the family's 1533-position model. The record is from RNAcentral.
UACGGGGGGGGCAAGCGUUGUUCGGAAUUACUGGGCGUAAAGGGCUCGUAGGCGGCCAACUAAGUCAGACGUGAAAUCCCCCGGCUUAACCAGGGAACUGCGUCUGAUACUGGAUGGCUUGAGAUUGGGAGAGGGAUGCGGAAUUCCAGGUGUAGCGGUGAAAUGCGUAGAUAUCUGGAGGAACACCGGUGGCGAAGGCGGCAUCCUGGACCAACACUGACGCUGAGGAGCGAAAGCCAGGGGAGCAAACGGG